UCUGUGGAACAUAGCCUUCAAUUGCAUUAGAUGGACCCAUCCACUCUUCUAAUGAAACUUCACCACCCUUUAAAUCCACUUUUUCCUGGAUCUUCAACUUAGAAGAUCCUCGAUCUCCAUUUUCCUUCACAUCAUCUAAGGAAUGCAAAUGCAACCCCUUAAAUAGAUUCAGGACUUGAUUAAGCUUUGCUGGAUUCAGUGUAGAGCUUCUCUCAUCCUGCAAGCUACCAGCAAAUGCUCCGCUAUUGACUACACAAUUUGUUGAACAGUACAUGUAUGUUUCAUGAAGAUCAUAAACUUUAUGCUCCUUCAAUGAUAUUCUGUAAUGUCCUUUCCGAGACCUUUCAGAAGGCAGAGAAUUGCUGCAAAGAGGAUAACCACACAUGUUGGCAAUUGAUCGUUCGGUCACUACAUCCUGAUAAUCACUCCGAGACAACAGAGAUCCAGCAGCAAUGAGUUGGCUUUCAUCUUUGAUGCCUUCAAGAAGACAGAGUUGUAAUUUGUGGACAGCAUCUUUAACAGCGACGGCUUCUCCUUUUGCCAUUAGAGAACUCGUCCGAAGUACUUAAAAGAAAAAAGGUACUGGUAAUUCCACCCUAAAUCAUCAACUUAAUUGAAUCUCUCUACAGCGCCCCCAAGAACAACGAAGGAAUCAGGUCUCUG
RNAcentral lists this unclassified non-coding RNA (663 nucleotides) under Hevea brasiliensis (rubber tree). Lineage: Eukaryota; Viridiplantae; Streptophyta; Magnoliopsida; Malpighiales; Euphorbiaceae. The record is from RNAcentral.